RNAcentral lists this ribosomal RNA (517 nucleotides) under uncultured bacterium. RNAcentral describes it as "bacterial SSU rRNA". It matches the Rfam family "Bacterial small subunit ribosomal RNA", at positions 8 to 518 of the family's 1533-position model. The record is from RNAcentral.
AGAGUUGAUCCUGGCUCAGGAUGAACGCUAGCUACAGGCUUAACACAUGCAAGUCGAGGGCAGCAUGAUCAAAGCUUGCUUGAUUGAUGGCGACCGGCGCACGGGUGAGUAACGCGUAUCCAACCUUCCCUAUAGUAGUGGAUAGCCCGGCGAAAGUCGGAUUAAUACACUAUGUUGUAUUUAGAGGACAUCUGAAGAAUACCAAAGGUUUACCGCUAUAGGAUGGGGAUGCGUCUGAUUAGAUAGUAGGCGGGUAACGGCCCACCUAGUCGACGAUCAGUAGGGGUUCUGAGAGGAAGGUCCCCCACAUUGGAACUGAGACACGGUCCAAACUCCUACGGGAGGCAGCAGUGAGGAAUAUUGGUCAAUGGACGGGAGUCUGAACCAGCCAAGUAGCGUGCAGGAUGACGGCCCUAUGGGUUGUAAACUGCUUUUAUACGGGGAUAAAGUGAGCCACGUGUGGCUUUUUGUAGGUACCGUAUGAAUAAGGACCGGCUAAUUCCGUGCCAGCAGCUGC